Elephantulus edwardii (Cape elephant shrew) is the source of this 3172-nucleotide RNA transcript. It is a transcript of the gene named methyl-CpG-binding domain protein 5-like, with no coding region annotated. The transcript has a single exon. NCBI's taxonomy places the organism in Eukaryota, Metazoa, Chordata, Mammalia, Macroscelidea, Macroscelididae. The record is from RefSeq and is a predicted model, not a curated record.
CCAAGCAGACACAGAAAAUGAAUGGAGGCAAGGAGUGUGACGUAGGGGACAAGGAUGGAGGUCUUCCAGCUAUACAAGUUCCUGUGGGUUGGCAGCGUCGAGUGGAUCAAAAUGGAGUGCUUUAUGUCAGUCCCAGUGGGUCUUUGUUAUCUUGCUUGGAGCAGGUUAAAACAUACCUGCUUACUGACGGAACAUGCAAGUGUGGCUUGGAAUGUCCUCUUAUCCUUCCCAAGGUGUUUAAUUUUGAUCCUGGUGCUGCUGUAAAACAAAGAACUGCAGAAGAUGUUAAGGCAGAUGAAGAUGUCACUAAGCUAUGCAUACAUAAGAGAAAGAUCAUUGCAGUGGCCACACUUCAUAAAAGCAUGGAAGCCCCACAUCCUUCUCUGGUGCUCACCAGUCCUGGAGGAGGAACAAAUGCAACUCCAGUAGUACCUUCUCGGGCAGCAACUCCAAGAUUAGUAAGAAAUAAGUCACAUGAAGGAAUUACAAAUUCUGUAAUGCCUGAAUGUAAGCAUCCUUUCAAGUUAAUGAUUGGAUCAUCAAACGCCAUGGGAAGAUUAUAUGUACAAGAACUGCCUGGGAGCCAGCAACAAGAACUUCACCCCGUCUACCCCCGGCAGAGAUUGGGCAGCAGUGAACAUGGACAGAAAUCUCCAUUCCGGGGCAACCAUGGCGGCCUGUCCAGUCCAGCAUCAUCAGGAUCCCAGAUAUAUGGAGAUGGCUCUAUCUCUCCAAGGACUGACCUACUUGGAAGCCCUGAUGUUUUCACAAGAAAUAAUCCCGGGUUUCAUGGCGCUCCCAAUUCUAGCCCUAUUCACCUGAAUAGGACUCCACUUUCUCCACCUUCAGUAAUGCUACAUGGUUCUCCUAUACAGUCAUCCUGUGCAAUGGCUGGAAGGACUAAUAUACCUCUUUCCCCAACCUUGACUACAAAGAGUCCAGUAAUGAAAAAACCAAUGUGUAAUUUUUCAACUAAUAUGGAAAUACCACGAGCAAUGUUCCACCACAAACUACCCCAAGGCCCACCACUCCCUCCUCCACCUUCAUGUGCUCUUCAGAAAAAGCCAUUAACAUCUGAGAAAGGUCCACUUGGCAUUCUUGACCCUAUUCCUAGUAAACCAGUGAAUCAGAACCCUGUUAUCAUUAAUCCAACCAAUUUCCAUUCAAAUGUCCACUCUCAGGUACCUGUGAUGAAUGUAAGCAUGCCUCCUGCUGUUGUUCCUUUGCCAAGUAAUCUCCCCUUGCCAACUGUAAAACCUGGUCACAUGAAUCACGGGAGUCAUGUACAAAGAGUUCAGCAUUCAGCUUCAACCUCCCUGUCCCCUUCUCCAGUGACAUCCCCAGUGCACAUGAUGGGGGCUGGAAUCGGAAGGAUUGAGGCAUCCCUCACGUUCAUCUUCCACGUCAUCAGAUCAUGGAAAUUUCAUGAUGCCACCUGUAGGACCCCAAGCCACUUGUAGUGGUAUUAAGGUUCCACCCAGGUCACCAAGGUCAACAAUAGGGUCCCCAAGACCAUCAAUGUCAUCAAGCCCUUCUACCAAGUCCGAUGGAUAUCAUCAGUACAAGGAUAUCCCAAAUUCAUUGAUUGCUGGAAUGAGUAAUGUACUAAAUACCCCAAGCAGUGCAGCUUUUCCUACUGCAUCUGCCGGAAGUGGUUCUGUAAAGAGUCAGCCUGGUUUGCUGGGAAUGCCUUUAAAUCAGAUCUUGAACCAGCACAAUGCUGCCUCCUUUCCAGCAAGUAGUUUACUCUCAGCAGCAGCCAAAGCACAGCUAGCAAAUCAAAACAAACUUGCUGGUAACAACAGUAGCAGCAGUAGCAAUUCUGGAACUGUUGCCGGCGGUGGCAACACUGACGGACAUAGCACUUUAAACACCAUGUUCCCUCCUACUGCCAACAUGCUUCUCCCAACAGGUGAAGGGCAAAGUGGCCGAGCAGCACUAAGAGAUAAGCUGAUGUCUCAGCAAAAAGACUCGAUGCGGAAAAGAAAACAGCCACCUACCACAGUGUUGAGCUUGCUCAGACAGUCUCAAGUGGAUAGUUCUACAGUUCCUAAACCCGGACCUGACUUGCUAAGGAAGCAGAGUCCAGGUUCCUUUCCCAUCAAUUCAAUGUCUCAGUUACUUCACUUGAGUAGCAAUAGUUCCCCAGCUUGUGGGGGCUCAAAUACUGCUUUGCCUUGCUCUGCUAACCAGCUGCAUUUUACCGAUCUCAAUAUGAACUCCAGUGUUCUUCAGAAUUCACUGACACAGAACAUACCUUUAGGAGGGGAAGCCGUGCACUGCCACAAUGCAAACACUAACUUUGUUCACAGUAACAGUCCAGUCCCAAACCACCAUCUUGCAGGUUUAAUAAAUCAGAUUCAGGCUAGCGGGAACUGUGGGAUGCUCAGUCAGUCGGGCAUGGCUUUAGGAAAUUCAUUACAUCCCAAUCCACCUCAGUCAAGAAUUUCAACGUCCUCCACUCCAGUGAUACCAAACAACAUUGUUAGCAGCUAUAAUCAAACAAGUUCUGAAGCAGGUAUGGUUUUAUUAGAGAAAAGUACCCAAAGGUACUAAACUUUUCUACGUUGUUUUUUUUUUUUAAUUUGUACCAAAAUAUUUAUUAUGAUAAGAGAUGAUUCUGUCCCCAUUGUGAAAAUCUCAUUUCUUUAGUAUUUAUAAUUUUAUUUACAGAACGCUAAAUGUUUGUCUAUUAGAAAGAAUGACAGCGGAGGGUAUUCCAUGUGUUUUCCGUUAUUUGUUGUCAAUCUGUGUCAUUUUGAGUAUUGUUUGGCUUUCAGUUGUUCAUAUAAUCAUUGGACUUUUAAACUGCAGAAGAAGCCAUAGAAGGCAGGGAUGCCUGAUUUAUGAGAUGCGUACAUGGUCUAUGGCAACAUGAGAGCCGUUUCCUUAGGUCUUGUGUGUAUUCAUGUAGGUAAAGCUCCACUUGGAAAACUCAAAAAAGGCAAAACUAAUCAGAUAUUUUCUUUUCUUGCUGCUGGCCAGAAAUAGGUAAAUGGACAGGAAAAGGGUAACUAGAAGCUGUAUGACUUAGAAAGCCAUCUUCUAAUGUUUUUUUAAUCCUAGUUUGCUAUUUUCUUACAAUUUGUUUGAGAACAUUCAAGAAUGGAUAUUGGCUAUUCCCUUUAUAAAAAUAAUAAUAAUUUAUGUUUUCUAAUAAAAAAGGCUUGAA